GACGAACGCUGGCGGCGUGCCUAAUGCAUGCAAGUCGCACGCGGCACCUUCGGGUGCUGAGUGGCGAACGGCUGAGGAACACGUGGGGACCUGUCUGGGAGUGGGGGACAACACCGCGAAAGCGGUGCUAAUCCCGCAUACGCUCUGCGGAGGAAAGCCGAAAGGCGCUCCCGGGUGGCCCGGCGACCCAUCAGGUUGUUGGUGAGGUAACGGCCUACCAAGCCAAUGACGGGUCGCUGGUCUGUGAGGACGACCAGCCAGACUGGGACUGGGGCACGGCCCAGACUCCUACGGGAGGCAGCAGCAAGGUAUUUUCGGCAAUGGGCGCGAGCCUGACCGAGCAACGCCGCGUGCAGGAAGACGGCCUGCGGGUUGUAAACUGCUUUUGCUAGGGAAGAUAACAGACAGUACCUGGCGAAUCAGCCCCGGCUAACUCUGUG
Molecule: ribosomal RNA, 440 nt
Filed under: uncultured bacterium
Lineage: Bacteria
Description: partial 16S ribosomal RNA
Rfam family: Bacterial small subunit ribosomal RNA
Source: RNAcentral